GAAAUGCGAUAAGUAAUGUGAAUUGCAGAAUUCAGUGAAUCAUCGAAUCUUUGAACGCACCUUGCGCUCCUUGGUAUUCCUUGGAGCAUGCCUGUUUGAGUAUCAUGAAAUUAUCAAAGCAAGUCUUUUGUUAAUUCAAUUGGCUUUUUGCUUUGGAUUUGGAGGUCUUUGCAGAUUUAAUACUCUGCUCCUCCUAAAUGCAUUGGCUGGAUCUCAGUAUAUGCUCGGUUCCACUCGGCGUGAUAAGUAUCACUCGCUGAGGACACUUUUGUAAAAGAAGGUGGCCGGGAAAUACAGAUGAACCGCUUCUAACAGUCUAUUAAAUUAGACAAAUAAUUUUAAGAUCUGAUCUCAAAUCAGGUAGGACUACCCGCUGAACUUAAGCAUAUCAAUAAGCGGAGGAAAAAGAAACUAACAAGGAUUCCCCCUAGU
This 432-nucleotide ribosomal RNA is filed under the name uncultured Ceratobasidiaceae. RNAcentral describes it as "eukaryotic LSU rRNA". The stretch from base 1 to 105 matches the Rfam family "5.8S ribosomal RNA", at positions 50 to 154 of the family's 154-position model. Lineage: Eukaryota; Fungi; Basidiomycota; Agaricomycetes; Cantharellales; Ceratobasidiaceae. The record is from RNAcentral.